RNAcentral lists this ribosomal RNA (301 nucleotides) under uncultured bacterium. Its description in RNAcentral is "partial 16S ribosomal RNA". It matches the Rfam family "Bacterial small subunit ribosomal RNA", at positions 509 to 807 of the family's 1533-position model. The record is from RNAcentral.
CAGUCGCCACGGUAAUACGGAGGGGGCUAGCGUUGUUCGGAAUUACUGGGCGUAAAGCGCACGCAGGCGGCUUGGUAAGUUAGAGGUGAAAGCCUGGAGCUCAACUCCAGAAUUGCCUUUAAGACUGCCGAGCUAGCAGGUGAGAGAGGUAAGUGGAAUUCCGAGUGUAGAGGUGAAAUUCGUAGAUAUUCGGAAGAACACCAGUGGCGAAGGCGGCUUACUGGCUCAUACUGGACGCUGAGGUGCGAAAGCGUGGGGAGCAAACAGGAUUAGAUACCCGGGUAGUCCCUGUCUCUUAUAC